GGACCAGGCUGGUGAAGGAAGACUUCGUUUUGUUAUUUAUUUAAAAAUGGGGGCCGGGGAUUUAGCUCAGCAGUUUUGCUGCCUGCUGCAUAAUCUCAAGGACCCGAGUUUGAUCCCCGGUACCAAAAAAAAAAAAAUUCCCAUUGGGCGUGGUGUUUAGAGUGUACCCCAGAAGCUGGGAGUGGUGGUGCACGCCUGUGAUCUCAGCACUCAGGAGGCUGAGGCAGGAGGAUCGCCAUCAGUUUGAGACCAGCCUGGGCUACAUAGUGAGACCAUGUCUCAAAACAAAACAGAACAAAACAAAUAGCGUGUCCAGCAGUGCCCUGGGAUGUGUGUCCCUGCCUGCACAGCGACGGCUCUGGCAAGAGCAGCUCUGCUUUUCACUUUACAGAAGUCCCAAGUUCGACACAUGUGCCCCAGGCCCCGAGCUGUGUGGUGUUCUCACGUGUUCUUGCUGCAUAUUUGCUGCUCUGCAUCCUCUGGCUGCGUCUCCUCAUCUCCUCCCACCUGGGCCCUGUAAUGCUGCUAACCUGUUGAUUCUGUGUCUCUGGAUGUCUGACAUUUUUUGGACUCCCAUCCCUUCCAGUUGGCCCUGGAAGCUCAGCUGCAACUCACAGAGGCCUUGCUGGCGCUGAGACUGCCCUUGGCUCCAGCCCAUGAUUUCUCCCAGAGAAAUGAAACCAAAACCGUGCUAGGCCUUAGCUGCUCCUUCAUGACAUUAGAGACAGGUUGUGCAUGGUGAGGACUUAUGUGCAUAUUGAAAAGGGGGGAGACCAUAACUGGAUCAGAACACACCAGAGGACAAGGGGCACCUGGAAAACCCUAGGAGACACGCAGUCCUGGUUUGUCCUGUGGGGAGAAGCAGCUCAGAACAGUGGGAAAAACAAAACAGGGGCACUGGCCAGGCAGGGGCUGGUGUAGGAGCCAGGACUGGGCUCCCAGGGUGCCUUGGCCUCUGGCCCUGUCGGGACAGCAGGUGACUGGAAGAAGGGAGUGAAGUGGGGUGUGUGGCAGCAUGACCUUCGAGCAGGCCAAAGCCCCUUCCACAGCCCCGGAGCCUGGCCUGUCCCUGAGCUGUAAGGUGAGACACAAGCUGACCCUUCGCACAUGGCUUAGGGAAGCUCUUAGGUUUUCUUGUUCUGAGGUUCAUCUGCACACACCAAGGAAGCUCGGAAAGCAUUUUAUGCUGUUUUAUUUAUUUUCCCAGUACUGGGGCUCAAGCCCAGGGCCUUUGCACUGAGCUAUAUCCCCAGCUCUUUUUAUGUUUUGAGACAGGGUCUCAUUAAGGCAUUAGGUUACACAGACUGGCCCUGAACUUGUGACGCUUCUGCCUCCGCCUCCCAGAGCACUCGGAUGAUGGGCAUGGGCCGCUGUCCGCUUCUAAAAGCUUUUCAGAUGUGAUGCCGCACUUCCUCUAUGGCACCAGUCUUCUUCACACCUGUAUUUCUUUUAUUCAGUACUUGCUAAGUGAGCUGAUAAAGGCUGCGUGUGGGAGCGACAGAGAGCAGUCUUUCAGUCCGCAAACCUCUAAGGUUCCUCUCUGGCCGAUUGUCCGAUUUCAUUGAACGGUGCAUGUGAUGUGAGGUUGCUGGCCUUCAUCUGAAGUUUUGCGUUCUGCAGUUUCCAUUGGCAUGGGCAGCCAUGAUCUGAAAAUGACGUGAAAAUUCCAGAAAUAAACAGUUGGC
This 1685-nucleotide long non-coding RNA is filed under the name Heterocephalus glaber (naked mole-rat). Its description in RNAcentral is "lncRNA (ENSHGLG00000038085.1)". Lineage: Eukaryota; Metazoa; Chordata; Mammalia; Rodentia; Bathyergidae. The record is from RNAcentral.